GACGAACGCUGGCGGCGUGCUUAACACAUGCAAGUCGUACGGUAAGGCCCUUUCGGGGGUACUCGAGUGGCGAACGGGUGAGUAACACGUGAGUAACCUGCCCACCACUUUGGGAUAACGCUAGGAAACUGGUGCUAAUCCUGGAUAUGUGCUCCUGCUGCAUGGUGGGAGUUGGAAAGCUCCGGCGGUUGUGGAUGGACUCGCGGCCUAGCAGCUUGUUGGUGGGGUAGUGGCCUACCAAGGCGGCGACGGGUAGCCGGCCCGGGAGGGUGACCGGCCACAGUGGGACUGGGAUACGGCCCAGACUCCUACGGGAGGCAGCAGUGGGGAUUAUUGCACAAUGGGCGUAAGCCUGAUGCAGCAACGCCGCGUGCGGGAUGACGGCCUUCGGGUUGUAAACCGCUUUCAGCAGGGACGAAGCUUUUUGUGACGGUACCUGCAGAAGAAGCACCGGCUAACUACGUG
This 465-nucleotide ribosomal RNA is filed under the name uncultured bacterium. RNAcentral describes it as "partial 16S ribosomal RNA". It matches the Rfam family "Bacterial small subunit ribosomal RNA", at positions 28 to 507 of the family's 1533-position model. The record is from RNAcentral.